CUCUCUCCCUCAUCUCUUUUUCCCUCUCUCCUCUCUCUUUCCCCCAUUCUUGCGUGCGUGAGCCCCUCCUUCAGCAGAACAUCCCACUUCCCCUCAUGUUAUUUCCCUCCAUCUCAUUUUCUUCCCUUCCUCUUCAUUUCUCCCUCUCCCUUCUUCUUCACCCUUCACACUAGCUUGCUCCCUCUCAUUUUUGUUGCUGCACCACCCACCUCAACCUCACGCCACUUCACCAGCCCAUGACUUCACAGCACCAUCCUCACACCAUCUUCUUCAUCACACAGCCCAGCAACCUCCACGCCAAGCUGCACCACCAAUAAUCGCUAGUUCUGCCCAGCAGCCCUUGCGUCCAGCCACCACCAGUGGCUACCUCACCACCCCAUUCCGGUCACAGCAGCACCUCCACAGAUUGCGGCAAGUAACUCAGCUCCAGAACCAGAACCGAAAUUCUAGCAGCAAGCCAUGGGCUUGCAAGGCUUUUUCAGCUUUGGUCGGCCCUCCAUUGGAGAUGCCGUAGGCUCGGGUAUUGGCCACCGUCGUGCCACCGUCGUCGUGGACCUGUUUGUUCGCUAAUUCGGUGAGUUAACUCCAUAAUCCUUGAUUAUGUUGUUAAUUGCACUUAGGGGGUUACUUUAGUGUUAAUUAGUUUAAGUAGAUUAGUACUAAGUGAGAUUAGCCUUAAGAUGAAUUAGUGUUAAUUUAUUUUGGUUAGAUUAACCUUAAGAUAGAUUAGUGUUGAUCUAGUGGGAAGGAUUAGCAUUAAUGAGGACGGUUUAGUUCAAUUCAGUGGAUUUUUCCUCAAAUCUGGUUUUUUGAACCCUUGCCAUUUGCCAUUUUUGUGGAUUGAAAUGUGCUGAGAUUUUGAGGUUGAUACCUUCUUGAAAAUUUUUUUAGACAUCUUUCUCUAUAACAUAUAUUUUUUUCAAGAUUUUAUGGAUUUAAAAGAGUAUUAUUUCAACUUUGUCAAAAAUAAAACAGAACCCCUGUUUUUAUUAGAACUGGUGAUCUUUUGGGAUUCAAGGGAUUUUUAUUAACUCUUAGGGUUUGAAUUUCGAAAUGGUUUUUUCACUAAAGUUGUUUUUCACAUCUUUUAGUUUAACAUACUCAAAUUUCAUAUCAAACGGAUAAGUUUUGGAUUUCAAACCAAAUUAAUUUUGGAGAACAUAAUUUCUAGACACGAACACAGUUUUUGUAACGGCUUGAGAAAAUUACUACUCUUAAUCUAGAAUGAUCUGGGUUUUGAAGUCUUCAUAAAAAAUUUUCAUUUAAGUAUCCUUUAUAACAUAUUAAAAUUUGUGAAUUUUCUGAGCUAGUUUGGUUAUAUUUCUGGAAUUAAACUUGAAGACGUGCGAGUGGCUUGGUUUCUGCCAAUUAGGACCAAUUAUGAUUUUGUGGUUGUUCUUGAUGUUGUGCUUGCUGAAUAAGGUGUAUUUAGUGAUGUGGUGGACUUGUGACAUGCUGAGAACUUAGGUGUGAGAUCAUGAGGUGGAAUGCUCUUUGUGGGUUGUUAUUGUUAUUGCAAAACAUGACAUUUUGGACUAUUAAAUAGAAAAUAAAUGAGGUGUCGGGUCCGGACACUAAAAAAUUAUUUGCCUAAUAAAACAAUAAGGUUUUAAAUUAGGUGCAUGUAAAGUUUGACGGAUUAAUUUUGAGUAUGUGAGCAUCUACGAAUUUAUUUCUAAACGUUUUGAACAAGAAAAAGGGGGUUACUAAAUGUUUGUUUUCAAAAGAGGGGGUUGGAAAAGAAAUUAGAAAAGAAAUAUGGUGUCGGGUUUGGACGCUAAGUUUUAUAUGCUAAAUAAAACAAGGAGGUUUUAUACAAGAUGCGUGCAAAAUUUGGUGGGUUAAUUUCAAAUACAGGAUUCCGUGCGAAUUUAUUUCGAAGAGUUUGAACAAAAAAAAAAGGGGUGCCAAGUGAAUUUUAAAAAUGGGUUUUUGGGGUUCUUGGCUACAUAUUGGAAUCUAAGAGUUGGCUUGGUUGAUGAGGUGCCAGCAUGGUUAGGUUACUUAAGUAGUUCAAUUUAAUUAGUCACAAUUUAUUUAUUUAAUUGUAAUUUAUAUAAUUAAUUAUUAAUUAGCAGAAAUUAUACCAGGAUAUCCGGUCGUUAGAAUUUCGCGCUGAUCAUCAUGGUUGUAUCGGUUUAUACAAUUGAGUGCUAAUUUGUGCAAUUGAAUGCUGAUUAGUGAUUUUGGGCUAUUAUUUCAAAAAUAGAAUUUUUGUAUUUAAUUAGAAAAAUAAUGGGUGUUGGUUUUUUACACCAAAAAAAUGUUUUUAGGUACUAUAUAAAAUCAUGGGAUUUUUAAAAGAAAUGAUAUUGUGCUUUACGGUUUGAUUUGACCAUGUGUCUACGCACGCCUAUUUUACCGAGUGUUUUUAAUAUAAAGAAAAUAGGCCAAGCAAAUUAUUUUAAUUGAGGCAUUUGAGUACAAAGCACAACAUCCUUAACCAGGAUUGGAUGUGCAUGUGAUCGUUAUGAGAACCCGUCGUGAGUGUUUACGCUAGGCGAUGCUCUUAUAUGGAAUGCCUCAUGUCAACGGAUGCCGGAUCACGGUAGAAGCCGGACCGAUGCUCCUUUGGGAAUACGAUCUAGAGGUAGAUGUUGCUGUGAUCGAUGGGGCAAGACGAUGCCCGGUUAUGUUGGAAGACUGCCGAAUGUCGAGUAAGUCGUGCCUGUGGGGCCGUAACUAAAUUGGAACGCAUGAAUAAGUGAUUUAGCCACGCCUUAUUAUGAGACAGAAUUGUGUGGUAUGAAAUGGGACGUGUCAUAAUGAUUUGACAUUAUAAUCGGGAUCCCGAGUAAGUUGUGCCUGUGGGGCCGUAACUAAAUUGGAACGCAUGAAUAAGUGAUUUAGCCACGCCUGAUUAUGAGACAGAAUUGUGUGGUACGGAAUGUGACGUGUCAUAAUAAUUUGGCAUUAUAAUCGUGAUCCCUGUGAUUGAUUGAGAUGUAAGUGAAGCGUUCCAGUCAUUGAUUGCAUCUACCGCAUUUAUAAAUGUAUAUGAGUCAUACUGACAUGUAGGGAGGUGCUGAGGCGAGAUAAGUUCUGAGUGGUGCAUGUUUAGGAUGCCUCUGAGUCAAUUCUUGUCCUAAUCGGGAUUUAGGGUGUUGACUCGCUGAAACAUUGUCUUACCUUGUCGUGGUUUAAAUUUUUUAGGUCCCUAGUGUGGAGAACCCGGAGCCCGAGGCUAAAGGGUCCGGAGUGUAGGUGGCCUGGUAGUUUCCUUUUGAAGCAGACUUAUGUGAAUAGACUUGUAAGACUUGUUUGGCAUGUGUAUAAAGUGGUUUGUGAUAAUUGGCUUGUCUUUCCACUAUCUUAGUGUUUGAUGGUUGUUAGGGUAUCUGUUAAAUUUCGCUUCCGCAUGUGCAUAAAAUGAAUGGGUCGGCGAUGUGUCUAGAGACAUUGCAAAUUUUAGUUGACCACUGAGGGAUGUGUGUGUGCCCGAGGUUUGGGGUGUGACAAAGGAAAUACAAAUAGAAAGAAUAAUAAGAAAAAUAGGAAAUGAGAUAUAAUAAGAAAAUGGGUUUUAUAAAUAAAUAAAAAAGUAAAAGGAUCGAUAUGGUUUUACCAUGGGUUCAUUGAGAUUUACAGAAGAGUGGGCUUUAUGUGAGCAAAGGCCUAAUAGGGUUUCGGUGUUAGUGUAGUAAAAAUGGGCCAAAUUCGGUUAUAGCAAAGCUGGAUUCAGUGGGGUAAUUUUUGAAAAAUGGCUUUGAGGGUUUAAAACUAAGAAAAGGACUUUAUAUAAAAGCCGAUCGUGUCCUCUGGCCCAGCGUGAAAUCAUUUU
RNAcentral lists this long non-coding RNA (3781 nucleotides) under Eucalyptus grandis. RNAcentral describes it as "long non-coding RNA (EGRA_LNC003029)". The record is from RNAcentral. Lineage: Eukaryota; Viridiplantae; Streptophyta; Magnoliopsida; Myrtales; Myrtaceae.